RNAcentral lists this unclassified non-coding RNA (244 nucleotides) under plant metagenome. RNAcentral's name for it is "partial contains small subunit ribosomal RNA, internal transcribed spacer 1, and 5.8S ribosomal RNA". The record is from RNAcentral.
UCUCCGUUGGUGAACCAGCGGAGGGAUCAUUACCGAGUUUACAACUCCCAAACCCAAUGUGAACCAUACCAAACUGUUGCCUCGGCGGGGUCACGCCCCGGGUGCGUCGCAGCCCCGGAACCAGGCGCCCGCCGGAGGGACCAACCCAACUCUUUCUGUAGUCCCCUCGCGGACGUUAUUUUUACAGCUCUGAGCAAAAAUUCAAAAUGAAUCAAAACUUUCAACAACGGAUCUCUUGGUUCUG